RNAcentral lists this unclassified non-coding RNA (408 nucleotides) under uncultured fungus. Its description in RNAcentral is "sequence contains ITS2". The stretch from base 1 to 155 matches the Rfam family "5.8S ribosomal RNA". Lineage: Eukaryota; Fungi. The record is from RNAcentral.
AACUUUCAGCAACGGAUCUCUUGGUUCUGGCAUCGAUGAAGAACGCAGCGAAAUGCGAUAAGUAAUGCGAAUUGCAGAAUUCCAGUGAGUCAUCGAAUCUUUGAACGCACAUUGCGCCCUUUGGUAUUCCGAAGGGCAUGCCUGUUCGAGCGUCAUUAUCACCCCUCAAGCCCCUGGCUUGGUGUUGGACGGUUUGGUGGAGGUCCCCUCGGGGGCUCCUGCCCCUCCCAAAGACAAUGACGGCGGCCUCGUUGGACCCCCGGUACACUGAGUUCUUCACGGGACACGUAUCGGACACAUGGGUUUACGGGACACGGUCUGCCUCCCCUCAGGGAGAAUCUUUCUAAGGUUGACCUCGGAUCAGGUAGGGAUACCCGCUGAACUUAAGCAUAUCAAUAAGCGGAGGCU